This 510-nucleotide ribosomal RNA is filed under the name uncultured bacterium. RNAcentral's name for it is "bacterial SSU rRNA". It matches the Rfam family "Bacterial small subunit ribosomal RNA", at positions 15 to 518 of the family's 1533-position model. The record is from RNAcentral.
GAUUCUGGCUCAGGAUGAACGCUAGCUACAGGCUUAACACAUGCAAGUCGAGGGGCAGCAUUGGAGUAGCAAUACUCAGAUGGCGACCGGCGCACGGGUGAGUAACACGUAUCCAACCUGCCGCUUACUCGGGGAUAGCCUUUCGAAAGAAAGAUUAAUACCCGAUGGUAUAAAGAGUUCGCAUGUUCUCUUUAUUAAAGAAUUUCGGUAAGCGAUGGGGAUGCGUUCCAUUAGAUAGUUGGCGGGGUAACGGCCCACCAAGUCUACGAUGGAUAGGGGUUCUGAGAGGAAGGUCCCCCACAUUGGAACUGAGACACGGUCCAAACUCCUACGGGAGGCAGCAGUGAGGAAUAUUGGUCAAUGGACGAGAGUCUGAACCAGCCAAGUAGCGUGAAGGAUGACUGCCCUAUGGGUUGUAAACUUCUUUUAUAAGGGAAUAAAGUGAGGGACGUGUCCCUUUUUGUAUGUACCUUAUGAAUAAGGAUCGGCUAACUCCGUGCCAGCAGCAGC